GGAGCUGUGCCUGAAUGCUUAAGGACUACUUUGAUAGAGUAAACCACGAGGGUUAAAGUCCCUCCGGCUCCU
RNAcentral lists this transfer RNA (72 nucleotides) under Harpadon microchir. Its description in RNAcentral is "tRNA-Ile". It matches the Rfam family "tRNA". From Rfam's summary of the family: Transfer RNA (tRNA) molecules are approximately 80 nucleotides in length. Their secondary structure includes four short double-helical elements and three loops (D, anti-codon, and T loops). Further hydrogen bonds mediate the characteristic L-shaped molecular structure. tRNAs have two regions of fundamental functional importance: the anti-codon, which is responsible for specific mRNA codon recognition, and the 3' end, to which the tRNAs corresponding amino acid is attached (by aminoacyl-tRNA synthetases). tRNAs cope with the degeneracy of the genetic code in two manners: having more than one tRNA (with a specific anti-codon) for a particular amino acid; and 'wobble' base-pairing, i.e. permitting non-standard base-pairing at the 3rd anti-codon position. The record is from RNAcentral. Lineage: Eukaryota; Metazoa; Chordata; Actinopteri; Aulopiformes; Synodontidae.